AAGAUGUAGUCGGGCCUUGGGGGAAACCUCAAGGGCGGUGAUCACAGAUUGCAAAUGAAGAAAGAUAGAAGAGGGGGGGAAAGAUGUGCUGGUAUUCUGCUAUGCUAUGUCUCUCUUCGGCUCCUGCCAGUUCAAAAUGGGCGGUGUGGGAAGUAGCCUCGGCUACGUGCCUUGCACUCUUGUUGGGUCGAGGCUUCUUCUUUUGCUCUCUGUGGUCGCGAAGCAAGACCGUUCCGUAGGUGAACCAGCGGAAGGAUCAUUA
Molecule: ribosomal RNA, 262 nt
Filed under: uncultured Pleosporales
Lineage: Eukaryota; Fungi; Ascomycota; Dothideomycetes; Pleosporales
Description: partial 18S ribosomal RNA
Source: RNAcentral